This 402-nucleotide ribosomal RNA is filed under the name uncultured Bauldia sp. Its description in RNAcentral is "bacterial SSU rRNA". It matches the Rfam family "Bacterial small subunit ribosomal RNA", at positions 355 to 774 of the family's 1533-position model. The record is from RNAcentral. Lineage: Bacteria; Pseudomonadati; Pseudomonadota; Alphaproteobacteria; Hyphomicrobiales; Kaistiaceae.
UGGGGAAUAUUGGACAAUGGGCGAAAGCCUGAUCCAGCCAUGCCGCGUGAGUGAUGAAGGCCUUAGGGUUGUAAAGCUCUUUCGGCGGGGACGAUAAUGACGGUACCCGCAGAAGAAGCCCCGGCUAACUUCGUGCCAGCAGCCGCGGUAAUACGAAGGGGGCUAGCGUUGUUCGGAAUUACUGGGCGUAAAGCGUAUGCAGGCGGAUCGUUAAGUCGGGGGUGAAAUCCCGAGGCUCAACCUCGGAACUGCCUUCGAUACUGGCGAUCUUGAGUCCGGGAGAGGUGAGUGGAACUCCGAGUGUAGAGGUGAAAUUCGUAGAUAUUCGGAAGAACACCAGUGGCGAAGGCGGCUCACUGGCCCGGUACUGACGCUGAGAUACGAAAGCGUGGGGAGCAAACA